RNAcentral lists this ribosomal RNA (252 nucleotides) under uncultured bacterium. Its description in RNAcentral is "partial 16S ribosomal RNA". It matches the Rfam family "Bacterial small subunit ribosomal RNA", at positions 524 to 776 of the family's 1533-position model. The record is from RNAcentral.
UACGGAGGGUGCAAGCAUUGAUCGGAAUUACUGGGCGUAAGGGCGCGUAGGCGGACUAAAAAGUCGGAUGUGAAAUUCCGGGGCUCAACCCCGGAGCUGCAUUUGAAACUUUUAGACUAGAGUAUAGUGAGGGUAAACGGAAUUCCACGUGUAGCGGUGAAAUGCGUAGAUAUGUGGAAGAACACCAGUGGUGAAGACGGUUUACUGUGCUAUAACUGACGCUGAGGCGCGAAAGCAAGGGGAGCAAACAGG